This 29-nucleotide non-coding RNA is filed under the name Rattus norvegicus (Norway rat). Lineage: Eukaryota; Metazoa; Chordata; Mammalia; Rodentia; Muridae. The record is from RNAcentral.
UGUCAUGUGACCAGAUGCUUCCUGACUGU